GAAAAACGUAUGCAUUAAUAAUUCCUACCCCAAUGACUUUAAAAAACAAUCCUAACAUACAAAUGAUUUAUGCUAUAAAUUCUUGCCAUGAAAUACAUUAAUCCUAAGGAGAUGUUUUUUGCUCUUCUUCUCCUUUAAUUUGCUAUGGGACGGUUAGUUCUUCUUUCUUCUCUUUUGUUCAUAAAUUUAUUUUUCAAUUGACCAAUUUAUAUAUUAUUUCUAAUAAAAAGUUUAUUGUUUUCUUAAAUUGAUGCUUUUUUUUUUGCAAUUUUGCACUCAAAUUUUCUGCAUAACAAUUAGGAUCAAGAGAAUUUGAUAUUUACAUAAAAAAAUUGAUAUUUUUUGUGUGUUUGCAGAUAACAAAAUGCAUCAAUCCUAAGGAGAUGUUUUUUGCUCUUCUUCUCCUUUAAUUUGCUAU
RNAcentral lists this long non-coding RNA (418 nucleotides) under Trifolium pratense (red clover). Its description in RNAcentral is "long non-coding RNA (TPRA_LNC002285)". The record is from RNAcentral. Lineage: Eukaryota; Viridiplantae; Streptophyta; Magnoliopsida; Fabales; Fabaceae.